AUAGGUGAAGCAGAAAUCAUCUCGAGGAAAUAGCACUGAACAGUAAUGCCCUGAAACACAGCAUUUGUUGUCUCCAAGCCACUGUUAAGGUAAGCUUUCUGGCCCCCAGAUCUGCACCUGACCUUUACCACCUCCUCAUCAUCCACUCUGGUCUGCAUCCUCUUGACCGCGUCUGAGUCUCCUUUGGGGCUGGAUGUCUGCUUCAGCAUUAGGAAAUGGACACAUCUAUAGAAUCUCUCAUGGCAACACACCAAGUAUUGUAAACUUCGUCCUUUCAACAAGUUAUAUUACUAAAAAUCGACAAACUGAACUCACAUGAAUGUGUACUUACAGAGUUGUGGCUCCUGAUUCUAUUUAAGGAUCUUAACUUCACUCUCACAGAUGGACCCACCUGUGGCUACGUUUACACACUAUGAUCCUAGCUAUUUUUCCUAGUGUUGGAAUGUUGGUCUGAGAUAUGGAAAUGGUGAGUAGCAUUAGAAGGUUAGCCUUAGAAAUAGUUCAGCUUUUAAGGUGGGGUAGUUAAACCCUGUCAUUGAGACUAAGAGCUUUUCUUUGUAGAAAAC
This 566-nucleotide long non-coding RNA is filed under the name Homo sapiens (human). RNAcentral describes it as "HSALNT0124830". The record is from RNAcentral. Lineage: Eukaryota; Metazoa; Chordata; Mammalia; Primates; Hominidae.